CUGCGCUCCUGGCGGCUCCCUCCCCCGCCGCCCCGCUCCCUCCCGGAAGGCCUCGGGGCAGAGCGGUCCCACCCACUGCGCGCUGAACAGAGCCCGCGUUUCCUCAGAGCUGGAACUCCCGGCUCGGGCGGGGUCUCUUCCCUCCGCCUUCACGGAACUGCCCCGCAGCCCGAGGGGAGGGCGACCUCACUGAGGCUGCCGGCUCUGGAGGUGUCCCGGCGGCCGAAGCCGUGACAGUCGCGGGGACGGCGGGCCGGCUCAAGAAGAAAACACUGGAGGUGACAGUCUGGGAUUAUGAUAGAUUUUCUUCCAAUGAUUUUCUUGGUGAGGUAUUGAUUGAUUAAUCUAGCACAUCUCACCUCGAUAACACGCCUAGGUGGUAUCCUCUCAAAGAACAGACUGAAAGCAUUGAUCAUGGCAAGUCCCAUUCCAGUCAAAGCAGCCAGCAGUCCCCAAAGCCGUCUGUCAUCAAAAGCAGAAGCCAUGGUAUCUUCCCUGACCCAUCCAAGGACAUGCAGGUUCCCACCAUUGAGAAAUCCCAUAGUAGUCCCGGUAGCUCGAAAUCCUCAUCCGAAGGCCAUCUCCGCUCUCAUGGACCAUCUCGCAGUCAAAGCAAAACCAGCGUCACUCAGACCCACCUGGAAGAUGCAGGGGCUGCUAUAGCCGCUGCCAAAGCCGCCGUGCAACAACUCCGCCUUCAACCAAGUAAAAGACGCAAAUAAAUUCCUCAGCAUGGCAGCUUAAUAUUCAUCUGUUGCCUUUCUUUCCUGCUGUCCUUCCCCAUUUGCUUUGUUUUGUGCAUUCCCGGCUCCCUCUGUUCUCUGUCCCUUUGUCUGUGUAGGAACAGUAUCGAUACAUAAAUAUGCUCUCUCUCAUUUAGUUCUUUUUUGUUUUAAUUUACAUAGAAUGAAAUAAAACUGGCUGUCUCUCCUUUGUCUCCACCAUCCAUCCAACCUGGCUCAUAGUAUUUGGUAGCUGUGUCUGUGAUGUGUGCAGGCAAAACUAUGUUGUGUGUCCUUUUUGUGUGCACUUAAAUGUCCUUUAGAAUACAGGAAUUAUAAGCACAAGUGGCUGCCGGUUUUCCAGGCAUUACACCAAAAAAAGGCACACACAUAAGCAUUUUGAGCAGAUUAGCAAUGAGAGUCUCACCUCUGAAAAACACUAAAAAAAUUUAGGCAGAAGAGACAUGUAACAAACAGUCAAGUUCUAGAACCUAGGGGAAAUGGAAAAACCAUUUUACGUUUAAAAUUUUUAAUAAAUUAUGCAUGUGAAAUAAUGAAGCUUUCCAUGUGAGAAAUUUUCUAGUCUUUUGGGAAAAAAAUCUGUAAAGAAAAUAAUGUUUCUUAUAUUCUCCAAAAAGUAUGUAGUAUUAAUAUAUGUUCAAGCAUAUUCGAUGAGGCCAUGUUACCUCAUUAAGGAGCACAGUUGGGUCCAUUCUGUUGGAUCACACUGUGUAUAUGAUACAAGAGAAUUUAUAGGGUUAUUCUUUUUUCAAAACACUGGAAAUCCUUUGGAAGUUAAGAUAUCAAUUAAAGCAUAACAAUUCACCCAUCUUAACUGCUGUAAUUUCAAAUGAUAGAAUUAUAUAAGAACUUAGUGAGUACAGAGACUUUAAAAAUGUAGGGGCACUGUUACUUCCAAGAGGCAUCAGCCAAACAAUGGAGAUAGAUGAAUGUUCUCCCCAUCUCCCAAAGUCAUCAUUUCCAAAGAAACAGCCAGUUUUAACCCCCUUUAGUGCUGUGCAUGUGGUGUCAUUUUGGCAUUUGAACACACAACUUACUUCGAUAGAGCAAAAGAUCACUUCUGUUUGCAUGAAUAACAUUCAAGCUGGUUCCAUCUGAGGAUACAUACUCUGGGUUUCCAUUUCACCCACACUACCACAGCAGCACAUAAAAGUGGUCAGUCUAAUCAUGCCAGGAAGCAGCACAGACACAGCAUAGCAGGAGUCCUCCCCAUUCAAAGAACUCAGUCUGAUAAUCUGCCUCCACCAGCUAAUGGCAACCAAGACCAAAGCCAGCUAGCCCUCAGGAAGGUGAUGUCUGAUGGACCAGUCAAGCCAAAAGGAGGUGAGCAGAAAGGCGCUAUUCAAAGUACACAGCAAGAACAUCCCCCAAAUUUAAAGCCCUCAUCUUUUAAUUUUUAGAGAUUGUCUGAUAAAGUAUGUUUAUCCACUUUUUAAUGUGCUUUUGCGGGCAUGGCAUUUUAGGACUUCAUCAUCACUGUGUAAGUCCCAAGAUCAGUCCCAUAAUAUAUUGGCUACAGUGAUUUGUAUUUUUCUAUGCACUGGGCAUCUUUUGACUUUUGUUGGGAAAUAGAUUAACAGUAUUCAUAUUGCAGAAUGGAACGCAUGCUACUAACCUAAUCUGUUCAAGCAUGACUAUAAAUAUGUUUCACUGUGAUAAAAGUUUAAACUGCUCACAAUUCGAGUUAGCAUACCAGUUGGAAUGUAGAUCAGUUUUUGUUGAAUAUUAUUUCAAGUGUAACUUUUUCAAAAAAAUUCAGUGGAUUUUGGAAAUUCUUAGAGGAAAGUAAAGGAAAAAAUUGUUAAUGCACUCAUUCACCUUUACAUGGUGAAAGUUCUUUCCUGAUCCUACGAACACAUUUUUUCCACUCAUGUUUCCGUAGUUGUCAAGUGUAUCAUGUGUUGGGCAUGUGAAUAUCCAAGUGCGUGUGUAAUAAA
Molecule: long non-coding RNA, 2680 nt
Organism: Balaenoptera acutorostrata (minke whale)
Lineage: Eukaryota; Metazoa; Chordata; Mammalia; Artiodactyla; Balaenopteridae
Exons: 4
Source: RefSeq, a predicted model, not a curated record